AUCUUGUACUCUCUAAUCAGGAUCCUGAGUACGGCCCAGCACGUGAAAUUGGGUCGGAAUCUGGGAGGACCAUCUCCCAAGGCUAAAUACUAACUAGUGACCGAUAGCGAACAAGUACCGUGAGGGAAAGGUGAAAAGAACCCCGGAAGGGGAGUGAAAUAGUUCUUGAAACCGUGUGCUUACAAGAAGUUCGAGGCCGUUAAUGGCUGAGAGCGUGCUUUUUGUAGAAUGAACCGGAGAGUUACGAUUGCGUGCAAGGUUAAGGUGCAAAGACUGGAGCCGUAGCGAAAGCGAGUCUUAAUAGGGCGAAUCAGUACGUAGUUGUAGACCCGAAACCGAGUGACCUAUCCAUGGUCAGGUUGAAGGUGGGGUAAUACCUACUGGAG
RNAcentral lists this ribosomal RNA (386 nucleotides) under Oenococcus oeni. RNAcentral's name for it is "bacterial LSU rRNA". It matches the Rfam family "Bacterial large subunit ribosomal RNA", at positions 384 to 771 of the family's 2925-position model. The record is from RNAcentral. Lineage: Bacteria; Bacillati; Bacillota; Bacilli; Lactobacillales; Lactobacillaceae.